GACGAACGCUGGCGGCGUGCUUAACACAUGCAAGUCGAACGAAGAGCGACGGAAGCUUGCUUCUAUCAAUCUUAGUGGCGAACGGGUGAGUAACGCGUAAUCAACCUGCCCUUCAGAGGGGGACAACAGUUGGAAACGACUGCUAAUACCGCAUACGAUCUAAUCUCGGCAUCGAGGAUAGAUGAAAGGUGGCCUCUACAUGUAAGCUAUCACUGAAGGAGGGGAUUGCGUCUGAUUAGCUAGUUGGAGGGGUAACGGCCCACCAAGGCGAUGAUCAGUAGCCGGUCUGAGAGGAUGAACGGCCACAUUGGGACUGAGACACGGCCCAGACUCCUACGGGAGGCAGCAGUGGGGAAUCUUCCGCAAUGGACGAAAGUCUGACGGAGCAACGCCGCGUGAGUGAUGACGGCCUUCGAGUUGUAAAGCUCUGUUAAUCGGGACGAAAGGCCUUCUUGCGAACAGUUAGAAGGA
RNAcentral lists this ribosomal RNA (471 nucleotides) under Veillonella parvula. RNAcentral describes it as "bacterial SSU rRNA". It matches the Rfam family "Bacterial small subunit ribosomal RNA", at positions 28 to 476 of the family's 1533-position model. Lineage: Bacteria; Bacillati; Bacillota; Negativicutes; Veillonellales; Veillonellaceae. The record is from RNAcentral.